RNAcentral lists this unclassified non-coding RNA (433 nucleotides) under soil metagenome. Its description in RNAcentral is "partial contains 5.8S ribosomal RNA, internal transcribed spacer 2, and large subunit ribosomal RNA". The stretch from base 1 to 120 matches the Rfam family "5.8S ribosomal RNA", at positions 35 to 154 of the family's 154-position model. The record is from RNAcentral.
GAUGAAGAACGCAGCGAAAUGCGAUACGUAAUGUGAAUUGCAGAAUUCAGUGAAUCAUCGAAUCUUUGAACGCAUAUUGCGCUCUCUGGUAUUCCGGAGAGCAUGCUUGUUUGAGUAUCAGUAAACACCUCAACUUCCAUAUCUUUUUUUGAAAUGGGAGUUGGACUUGAGUGAUCCCAACGCUUUUCCUCACCGAAAAGUGGCGGGUUACUUGAAAUGCAGUUGCAGCUGGACUUUUCUCUGAGCUAUAAGCAUAUCUAUUUAGUCUGCCUAAAAAACAGAUUAUUACCUUUGCUGCAGCUAACAUAAAGGAGAUUAGUUCUUGUGCUGACUGAUGCAGGAUUCACAAAGACAGCUUCGGCCGACUUUGUAAACUCGAUCUCAAAUCAAGUAAGACUACCCGCUGAACUUAAGCAUAUCAAUAAGCGGAGGA